This is a long non-coding RNA of Ictalurus punctatus (channel catfish), 1175 nucleotides long. Lineage: Eukaryota; Metazoa; Chordata; Actinopteri; Siluriformes; Ictaluridae. The record is from Ensembl.
AAAUCUUUUGAUGUCUAAGCUAGCUCAUUAUACUGAUAUUAUAACUAGCAAAUCAACAUGAGUGAACAAAGUGAUGGUAUUAACCUAAGCAGUUAAUACUAGCCUAAUUUCAUAAUAAUCAUUUACUACUGACCGUAUGACCUUAGAUAACACCGGAAGUAGCUUGGUAAGAUUAGACAGUCUCUCCUUUUUAAAUAAACUCCUUUGAGAUAAUGAGCAGAGGAUAAAAGAACACUUCUCCGUUCAGAUGGGUUGCUUACUGCAGGUAUCAGAGCCAGAUGAUCAACAUUGAAUGUAGGUUGUGUUGAGUGUAAAUGUUAACUGCUGUUUACCAGUAUAUUUUCAGUACAUUAGCUACGUAUGCUUACAUUACUUUGACUAAAAAGAUGGAUAAUGUCAGCUGAUGCUGAAACAGUUUUGGUGUGUUGGUUCAUGUUUAUAACACCUUUACUUUUUUUACACCUGCUCCUAAUACACUGAUUUUUUUAAAUUAAGGGCAGACGUUCCCCUUAAGUAAAAUAUGUACCUUUAACAAAAAGUAAAUAGGUAAAUAAAGGCAGGUUUAUGUUAAACUCAUGUAUUCAUUCAAGGUUAGUCAGCUUUUUUGGUGACAUUUUGUCUACAAAAUAUUUAAGCUGUUUUGAUGAGUGAUGAGCUACAAAGUUUUGGUUGUUGAACGUUCAUCUGUUGUUGGGUGAGAAGUCCGACAUGAUGGCACAGAUGAACACACUACGAGGCUCAGUGCAGCAGCUGGAGGAAGAGCUGUCUGAGACACACAGGCUCUUUGACAAGAUAACGAGGGAAAGGGAGCGAGAGCAAGAGGAACACAGUAUCCUGAAAUCUAAGUAUAAUGAGAUGAGAGAAACUUUACAACAGCAGAAUGAGUUACUAAAGGAAUAUGAGCAAGAGCAGGAGGCUCAUAGUAUCCUGAAUUCGUUGUGCGAUUGUAUGUCAAACAACGAGAAGUCACUAAAGGUCUCUCUGGCUGAAGCUGAGAGGAAAUAUGAGCAGGCGAUGGAGUCCAACGCUCAGCUAGAGAACGAGAAAUCGGACCUGUUGUCCCAGAUGAACAUAUUGCAAAGCUCAGUGAAGCAGCUGGAGGAAGAGCUCACUGAGACCCAGAAAAUGCAUGAUGAGAUAACAAAUGUAAGUGAGAAAAUCCUUGAAGUAAGCAG